RNAcentral lists this ribosomal RNA (305 nucleotides) under uncultured bacterium. RNAcentral's name for it is "partial 16S ribosomal RNA". It matches the Rfam family "Bacterial small subunit ribosomal RNA", at positions 506 to 809 of the family's 1533-position model. The record is from RNAcentral.
ACAGCAGUAGCCGCGGUAAUACGUAGGUGGCAAGCGUUGUCCGGAAUUAUUGGGCGUAAAGCGCGCGCAGGCGGCCUAUCCAGUCAGUCUUAAAAGUUCGGGGCUCAACCCCGUGAUGGGAUGGAGACUAGUAGGCUAGAGUAUCGGAGAGGAAAGCGGAAUUCCUAGUGUAGCGGUGAAAUGCGUAGAUAUUAGGAAGAACACCAGUGGCGAAGGCGGCUUUCUGGACGAAAACUGACGCUGAGGCGCGAAAGCCAGGGGAGCGAACGGGAUUAGAUACCCCAGUAGUCCCUGUCUCUUAUACA